UGACUGUAAUUUAUUCAAUCUAUUUUUUGGGCCUUCUCAUCAUUGAAGAGGUUUAUGAAAUGAAAAUAUCUCUGUUUUAUUUCCAGAAACAGUGCCAGUUCCUGUUAAAGCGGUUGUCCCCCCCCCCCCCCCCCCCCAAAAAAAAAAAUUCUACCUAGGGAUGAGCGAAUCGAUAUGUGUCACUAGUAAGAGUUCUACAUCUGGAUCGAUCUAGCAAUUAUCACUCAUAAUCCCGCUUCAAACUGAAAAUCUCAGCCUGAACAAUCUGCCCUUUAAAUGCGUUUACCAGGUGUUUAAUAUUGAUGACCUAUCCUCAGGAUAGGUCAUCAGUAUCUGCUUGGUGGGGGUCCGACUCCAGGCACCCCCGCUGAUCAGCUGUUUGAAGAAGCUGCAUCGCAUCUUCCUAGAUCAGUGACCUCACGUUCAUCGGUCACAUGUCCUAGGCACAGCCUAGUACCCAUCAUUUAAUGGAUUGUGCUGUGUUUUGUAAGCUGUGAGGAAGCCAUGGUGCUUACAGGAACUCCAUGGCCUCUUCAAACAGCUAGUCGGUGGGGAUGGUGGGCGCCGGACCCCCACCGGUCUGGAAUUGAUCAAUAUUAAGCACAUGGGAAAUCCCUUUAAAGGGAAGAAUGUGCAGACUGAGGAGAACUUCUGAUUGAAACAGGAUUGAGUGACAAUGAUUACAUUGAUCUUUUUGGGGA
This is a long non-coding RNA of Bufo bufo (common toad), 701 nucleotides long. RefSeq lists it as uncharacterized. The transcript has 2 exons. The record is from RefSeq and is a predicted model, not a curated record. NCBI's taxonomy places the organism in Eukaryota, Metazoa, Chordata, Amphibia, Anura, Bufonidae.